This 253-nucleotide ribosomal RNA is filed under the name uncultured bacterium. RNAcentral describes it as "partial 16S ribosomal RNA". It matches the Rfam family "Bacterial small subunit ribosomal RNA", at positions 524 to 776 of the family's 1533-position model. The record is from RNAcentral.
UACAGAGGGUGCGAGCGUUGUCCGGAAUUACUGGGCGUAAAGGGCGCGUAGGCGGCCUGAUAAGUCGGGGGUGAAAUUCAGCGGCUCAACCGCUGGACUGCCUUCGAUACUGGGAAUCUCGAGUCCGGGAGAGGUGAGUGGAACUCCGAGUGUAGAGGUGAAAUUCGUAGAUAUUCGGGAGAACACCAGUGGCGAAGGCGGCUCACUGGACCGGCAUUGACGCUGAGGUGCGAAAGCGUGGGGAGCAAACAGG